RNAcentral lists this ribosomal RNA (164 nucleotides) under uncultured bacterium. RNAcentral describes it as "partial 16S rRNA". It matches the Rfam family "Bacterial small subunit ribosomal RNA", at positions 355 to 511 of the family's 1533-position model. The record is from RNAcentral.
UAGGGAAUCCUCCACAAUGGGCGAAAGCCUGAUGGAGCAACGCCGCGUGUGUGAUGAAGGGUUUCGGCUCGUAAAACACUGUUGUAAGAGAAGAAUGACAUUGAGAGUAACUGUUCAAUGUGUGACGGUAUCUUACCAGAAAGGAACGGCUAAAUACGUGCUAG